ACAGCUGCCGCCGGCGCGGAGAAGCGCACCGCACCAUCUCUCCCCACGGCCGCGCCAGCCAAUGGCCGGGCGAGGCCCAGCCCUGGGGCCUGCCUAUUGGCCGGGGCGCCGUGGCGGCGCCAGCGUGGAGGCUGCCCGGGCGCAGGCGAUAGGGGAUCGCGCGGGUGGGGUGCCGGCAGCCCCGGCCCUGACCUGUGGUCCUCCCGCCGUGCGAGCACGACGGGAGCUUGGAGAUGAACGCAGGGCCAAGGGCUGGGCGCUCAAGGCACGGAGUUAAAUAAGGAGACGUCCACAAAGAGCUCCUUUCCAGAGAACACGGCCUGUCGCCAGCUUUGUCGAAUCACUUUGGGAGUAGGUAUGAGCUGUACUGGAAUAUUUCUUUUUCUUUGAAAGGAAUUUACUCUCCUCAGGAAAAAAGAACGCUCACGUGAUGUACAAACGGCAUAUCUACAACGAGGAGUGAGCGUCCAUCCCUGAGUUUCUUAGAGAUUCUUGCCUAAGGUGACUGGUUCACAAAGGGGUCAAGGACCAAGAAAGGAGGGAAAGAAGAAGGAAUUUUAACCCAAGUGUGAGCACUGCUGCUGAUAAGAGUGGACUGAGCUGUUUACGACAAAGGCCGUAUCCAGCUCAGCUGUCCAGUCCAAAUUCCCGUCCUCCUGUUCACCUUCAUUCUCCCGGCUCAGCCUCUCCCUCCAGCUGCCUCAGCCAGGGUCCUGGCUGUGUAUAGCUCACAGGUGAGAGAGACCAGAAGGAAACUAUACUGGC
RNAcentral lists this long non-coding RNA (765 nucleotides) under Equus caballus (horse). RNAcentral's name for it is "lncRNA (ENSECAG00000048168.1)". The record is from RNAcentral. Lineage: Eukaryota; Metazoa; Chordata; Mammalia; Perissodactyla; Equidae.